This 401-nucleotide RNase P RNA is filed under the name Pseudonocardiales bacterium. RNAcentral describes it as "RNase P RNA component class A". It matches the Rfam family "Bacterial RNase P class A". Rfam says of the family: Ribonuclease P (RNase P) is a ubiquitous endoribonuclease, found in archaea, bacteria and eukarya as well as chloroplasts and mitochondria. Its best characterised activity is the generation of mature 5'-ends of tRNAs by cleaving the 5'-leader elements of precursor-tRNAs. Lineage: Bacteria; Bacillati; Actinomycetota; Actinomycetes; Pseudonocardiales. The record is from RNAcentral.
CGAGUCGACCGGACGGCCGCGUCGGGAUCUUCGGAUCCCGCCGAGGAAAGUCCGGGCUCCACAGGGCAGGGUGGUUGUCAAUGGCAACCCGGGGCGACCCGCGGGAUAGUGCCACAGAAAACAGACCGCCAGUGCGCGCGCGUACUGGUAAGGGUGAAACGGCGGUGUAAGAGACCACCAGCGUUGCGGGUGACCGCAACGGCUAGGUAAACCCCACCCGGAGCAAGGUCGAGAAGAUUCGCCUUGGAAACAAGGUGUUUCGCGCAGAUGCUCGAGGGCGGCCCGCCCGAGUCUGCGGGUAGAUCGCUAGAACCUGUCGGCGACGACAGGUCGAGAUGGAUGGCCGUCACCCGGCGCUCACGCGGCGGGAACAGAACCCGGCUUACAGGUCGGCUCGUCCG